GGGGAGCAUAUUCAUUGUUCAUAAGUCUCCUCUGUAAAAAAAGGACAUCCUCCAACCAUGCUGCAGAAACAAUAUCAUGUGACUACAGAGCAGCGACUGAACACUCCAGGUAACAGUCACAAAGUUGUUCAUAUAAACAACCAGCAGCCAGUGAAAGAAAAUGUGGUUUAAGUGGAAGAAUCUACUUCUCAAGGCUUGCGCAUUAUUAAUGUACCAAACAAUUGUCAAACCAACAUUAUAUUCCCGGAGUGUGUUCUGGAUGACAGUGGGCAUUUCAAUGUGGAAGAGAUCAGAAACUGACUAGAGGCUACGUUCUGCUCAUGCUACUAAUUUGACUUCAGUGAGACUAUUUGGAUAAUCUUUAAACAGUGCUGUUACAACACCACAAAUCAAAGGAUUACUCCAGUUCCACCAACUUAAUCCACGUGCAAGAUGAAGGACCCAGCUGAGGUACAAACACUGGUACCAGUUUUCUUGUGUUUGCUCUUAC
Molecule: long non-coding RNA, 490 nt
Organism: Mauremys reevesii (Reeves's turtle)
Lineage: Eukaryota; Metazoa; Chordata; Testudines; Geoemydidae
Exons: 4
Source: RefSeq, a predicted model, not a curated record